AUUGAACGCUGGCGGCAUGCCUUACACAUGCAAGUCGAACGGCAGCGCGGGGGCAACCCUGGCGGCGAGUGGCGAACGGGUGAGUAAUAUAUCGGAACGUACCCAAGAGUGGGGGAUAACGUAGCGAAAGUUACGCUAAUACCGCAUACGAUCUAAGGAUGAAAGCAGGGGACCGCAAGGCCUUGUGCUCCUGGAGCGGCCGAUAUCUGAUUAGCUAGUUGGUGGGUAAAGGCCUACCAAGGCAUCGAUCAGUAGCUGGUCUGAGAGGACGACCAGCCACACUGGGACUGAGACACGGCCCAGACUCCUACGGGAGGCAGCAGUGGGGAAUUUUGGACAAUGGGGGCAACCCUGAUCCAGCAAUGCCGCGUGAGUGAAGAAGGCCUUCGGGUUG
RNAcentral lists this ribosomal RNA (394 nucleotides) under uncultured bacterium. RNAcentral describes it as "bacterial SSU rRNA". It matches the Rfam family "Bacterial small subunit ribosomal RNA", at positions 30 to 425 of the family's 1533-position model. The record is from RNAcentral.